RNAcentral lists this long non-coding RNA (1062 nucleotides) under Strigops habroptila (Kakapo). RNAcentral describes it as "lncRNA (ENSSHBG00005020587.1)". The record is from RNAcentral. Lineage: Eukaryota; Metazoa; Chordata; Aves; Psittaciformes; Psittacidae.
UGCGGUGCUUGGGACCUGGUGGUGGGUUCUGGAGAGCUGGGGCAGGUCAAGCAUCCCUCGAGGGCAGGAGUCGGGGGAUCUUUGAAAGCAACUUGUUAAAAGCAGCUUUUGCAGAAGGUGUUUUUCUUCCUGAGGAAUUGAUCUCCCAGUUCUGGAAGCCUCAAAACUGUUUACGGAUAUUCAGGUACAAAACUAGAGCCGUUCACUUGGCUUCGUGUGUAUUGCCAAACGUUCUGCUUCUUCCUGGAGCGACAGAACAAAGUCUGAGUGUGCUGGGUUUGGGCUUCUUGGGUUUGCUUCUUCCCUGCCUUUGCCUCCUCGCAGGAGCUGGGGCUGCAGCCUCUGGCACCUCUGGCCUGGUGCGAGGGCCCCGGUGGAGCGGGAUGAAUCGCUCCUCUUUCUCUCCGUGAUAUUUUGCACAUGUUUUGCCUGGGGCUCGAGGCUGGCGCGAGGUCAGAGGUUGCAUUUGAAGGCAAAGCCCCGCAGAGUUGAGUUGGGAAGCGCUUCCAAAGGUGUCUCCGAGCCCACCCAGCACCCGCCUCCCGGGAGCCACGAGCACGAGCUGGGGGGGAUGAAGUAAAACACUCGGAAGUGCUUAAACCCUUCCAAAAACUGGGAUUUUGGGGGCAGCUCCCCCUGCUUCUGCCCAUCCUGCCCUGCGCCCCUGGCUCCUCCAGGCCUCCCGGGCUGGGCUCGUGCUUCAACUGGUUUAAUUUAUUGUCCAGUGCGAUGUGGGAGGAAGCGGCGCGUGUUGGAGCAGCUUCCUCAGCCGCUGAACCUGCUGCUCCCCUCCGCUGUACAGACCCCUCCUUGAGUGGAAGGAAGGAAUGAAACCAUGUCCUACUUUUGUACUUUUGUCUCCAGAGAGGGAGGGAUAUUUUAUACACUUUUCUCUACCUGUAACAGUAGUUUUGUACAAAACCUCUCCCUUUCCCCCCCCCAUUGCUCCUGCCAGGUUGUGUUCUUUGUAGGCUGGAUUCUCCCCUUCCCUCUCCCUUCUGUGUGUUUUAUACCAAGUUCUUUUUCUAUCUUUGACUGCAAGUAAAGAUCUGAAGCAAAAAA